GAACAACAAUCACUCAUUCUCUGUUUCUAUUAAGAUGUAGUAGUUUUGUUAUUUAGAGUGUCCCUUAAAAAUCUUUUGACACUUAAACAGAUACUAUAGGCACCAAAAUAACUUAAACUUAAUGAAGCAGUUUUGGUGUAUUGAUCAUGCCUCUGCAAUCUCCCUGCUCAACUUACUGUCAUUAAAUUGUUUAUACAGCACUAGUCAAUCCUCCCUGCUGGUGACUUGCACAGCCUUCUUUACACUUCGUGUAAAGGAAGCUAGACUUGAUAGGUUCGCUUCUUGCACAGUCUGUUUAAACUAGAUUUUCUGAUCUCCUCUGUUUAUGGCCUACAGGAGCCUCUUGUGUGUGAUUAAACCUAAAUUACAGAGCUGGAAAUAAAAACUUGUAAAAUU
Pelobates cultripes (western spadefoot toad) is the source of this 396-nucleotide non-coding RNA. Lineage: Eukaryota; Metazoa; Chordata; Amphibia; Anura; Pelobatidae. The record is from the annotation of a GenBank genome assembly.